Molecule: RNA transcript, 11460 nt
Organism: Mirounga angustirostris (Northern elephant seal)
Lineage: Eukaryota; Metazoa; Chordata; Mammalia; Carnivora; Phocidae
Gene name: mitotic spindle assembly checkpoint protein MAD2A-like
Exons: 8
Source: RefSeq, a predicted model, not a curated record
CGGCCACUUAGCGGCCGGAGAGCUCGCCAGUUGCCUCCGCCGCCGCCUUGGAAUCUGGGGACCCGACAGACGGCGAGACCCAGCCUCCGCCCGACCCCGGCGAGGCCGCGCGGCUGCUGCGCCUGCCCCACCCGCCGCACCUGGGAGCGGUGAUCACCAGGAGAGGUGGGGCGUGGCGAGCGGCUGGCCGGGCGCCGGAGCAGCUUCGCCAAAAGCCAGCCGGACCGGCGCAAGGCGGAGGGGGAGGGUCUCGGGGCAGAGGCCGGCUCCUCCGAGGGAGAGACCCCAGCUGGGGUGGAAAACGGCACAAACCAGCUGCACAGACGCUGGGCGCGGAUCAUGGAGCGGGCCAGCCCCGGCUCCGGGGAGUCGAAGCUGCAGCGGGACCAGGAUUCCGUGGAAGCGUGGCUGGAUGAUCACUGGGACUUUACCUGCUCUUACUUUGUUAGGAAAGCCACCAGGUAAGAAGAGGACCCCUGGAAGACCCACCCGGGGCGCUGAGAGUGACCUGGGGGCUCAUCUCUCUCCCUUACUGAAUUUUCCUCUUCCUUUACCAUUAAACGACCUCGGUUCCCAGGCCCUUUGCUUUUGAAGUAGGUCUUUGGUCCUGUUAGGGUGUAGACACCUCGACUUUAUGGCUAGUACAGUCGAAAAGCCCAAGCGUGGGAUUCGAUCCAACUUGCUCAAAAAGUUCAAUGCAAAAAUGUACAUGUGGACCCCCCCCCCACACACACACACACAGCCCGGCUGCCCCGGUAUUCCCUGAGAGCAAGAUUAUUUACAUACAUCCGCGCUCACGGGCCUUCCCCCAGCCCUUCUUUAGCCUCCUAGUCCCCCUAAAUCUCCUCAGCGAAACCAAAACAGUUUUGAGCCCCUUCCCUGCGGCUCCGGAAGCACCAUUUCCAACUCGGUCCCAGCAGCUCCGCUCCUCCCCCGUCCCCCCUCGCCCUGGCCCUUGGCGGGCGGGGAAGUCGGGGUAGGGGCGAGACCACGAGGAGCCCAAAGGCAGCAACAUGCCGGAGUCUUCCCAGAGUAAGCGCUGUCGCCUUUUGCCCCUUUCCAGUCCCUUGCUUGGCCCGGCGCUUCCUUUCACUCUCUCUUGCUCCCAAGGCGGCGCCGCUGAAAGGGCUCCGCAGAGGGGUUCGCGGCGCGCACACAAAGGGCGCUGGGGAGGCGCGGCGGGAGCCGACAGCGGGGCGCUGACGGGUCCCGCGCAGCCCCAGCCGACCCCAGAGGCCAGCUCUUCCCGGUCGAGAGCCAAGCGCCGGGCGGCCGCUGCCGAGGGCGGGGAGGAGGGUGCCUGUCCUUUGGGAGGUGGCUGCCCGGGGGGCAGUUGGGGCGCGCGUGGGAAAGGCUCCCGUAGAGUUGGGGAGGAAUUGAGGUUGAAGCCGAGGAAGGAGGGGCCGGAGCAGAGAGUGGAGGCGGGCGGAUGCCCUGAAGCCUGAGGAGUUGGUGAGAAGCCGCUGCGCGGGCAAAGGCUUCUACACGCGGACUCCGACUGACUCCAGGACGCGCCUCUUUGGAGAAGAGUCCCGGACCCGCCGCCGCCGCCGCCGCCGCCUCCAGGCAGCGGCCGUCGGGCAGCCGGCGCUGGCUGCCUUGGCCGCCAGGAAAGCGCACUCAGGGCGGUGAUGGUGGAGCGGCCGGCCGAGGCUCGGCGCUGGGCUCCCCCCCGCCGGCGUUCGGCCUCCGCUCUGCCGGGCGCUCCCCGCCAGGGGGCGGCGCAGCGCGGAGCGAGCGGGCUGCGGCGGGCGGCGGCCCGGUGGCGGGGUCGGUAAGGGAGCAGGCUUGGAGUCACCGCCUCCCCUGGGCACGUCGUCGCCCCCCGGCGCCUCCCGGAGUCCAGAGUCUGCGGAGGCCGCGUGGUCUGCACUUCGACCUUCCUAUGUUUGCUGUGUUGCCCUUUGGAGACAAAACAAGGCCGGUCUAGUAGACCACAACUACACACGCCCAGCCGGGACCCUGCGGAGCUUGACCACCCAGAACUGGGCGACCACGCCUACCCCCUGCGCCUGCGGACAGGCCAGCUCCGAAAAGCGCCCAGAGGACCUGCAGGCCCCGCCCCACGGGGCGGGGCCUAGAGGCUCAUCGCGCCUGCGCCGAGGCCCGAGGGCGUGCUGCGCCGUUACUUUUGAAACGAGUGGCGGGGAACUGCUGUGGGCGUCUCCGCCGUCGCUCUCUGCCGGGGGGAAGCGCACUCCUUCGUCUGUAGGACUGGCCAUGGCGCUGCAGCUCUCCCGGGAGCAAGGCAUCACCCUGCGCGGGAGCGCCGAAACCGUGGCCGAGUUCUUCUCAUUUGGCAUCAACAGCAUUUUAUAUCAGCGUGGCAUAUAUCCAUCUGAAACCUUUAAUAGAGUGCAGAAAUAUGGACUCACCUUGCUUGUAACAACGGAUCCUGAGCUCAUAAAAUACCUAAAUAAUGUGGUGGAACCGCCGAAAGAUUGGUUAUACAAGUGUUCAGUUCAGAAACUGGUGGUUGUCAUCUCAAAUAUUGAAAGUGGUGAGGUACUUGAAAGGUGGCAAUUUGAUAUUGAGUGUGACAAGACUGCCAAAGAUGACAGUGCACCCAGAGAAAAGUCUCAGAAAGCUAUCCAAGAUGAAAUCCGUUCAGUGAUCAGACAGAUCACAGCUACAGUGACAUUUCUGCCACUAUUGGAAGUUUCUUUUACUCCUUCAUUCAUCAGAUAUAUCCUAAAUACCUACUACAUGCGAGAUGCUGUUCUGGGCACUGGGAUACAGCUGUCACAGAACCAAGGUACAGGAAUGAAAACAACAUGUUCCGAUUGGGCCUGUCGAGGUCUGAAACAGAGCCCCAGAUGGGACUGAACCACACCCGGUCUUCAGGACUCUUCUCCCAGUGUCAUCAAUUGGACAGGGAAGUCAAGCCUGGAUGGGAAUUUUACACAGAGGGGUACAGAUCUGUGAUUCAUCAGUCUUCCACAAUUCACAGCACUCACCAUAGCACAUACCCGCCCCAAUGUCUAUCACCCAGCCACGUCAUCCCUCCCACCCCCCCACCACUCCAGCAACCCUCAGUUUAUUUCCUGAGAUUGAGAGUCUCUUAUGGUUUGUCUCCCUCUGGUUUCAUCUUGUUUCAUUUUUCUCUCCCUUCCCCUAUGAUCCUCUGCCUUGUUUCUCAAAUUUAGAGAGUGACCCUGAGACAUUAUUGCCUUCUUCGAAAAUUUAGAUAUUCUGGUUUCAUUUCCUUGUGUCUCGUGUCCCAUGCUUUUGGCACUUUGGUGCAAGAUUGUGGUCUAGAGAAAACGUCUACUCCCAAAUUCCUCCGAGUGUGUUCUCUCCAGAACAGUGGAGUGAAACACAUUCUCCUCUGCCAGUGCAUGAGGAAUGGGGUAAUGAACGUCACCCUGCUCCCUUAGCACUAUGUUUAACUUACUAAUAUGCCACGUCUUACUUGUUCUGAUAGUAGUAAUUGUCAUCACUCUUCCAUAGACUUUUCAUUCCUACCUAGGCAGGCUGAGUUGGACCUGGCUAGGAAGUAGUUGACCAGAACCAAGAUUCUAAGAAAAUAAAAUACCACGGUCGCAGUAAGAGCCAAUGAGUCAGGAUUACUCUUUGUCAAGAAGGAACAGAAGGAUACCAAAGUUUAGCAAGACUUUAAGAAGGUUCUAGACAUCACAGAUGAAAGUAGUCAAAAGUUAGUAUUCCAAAGAGUGGCGCCAUUUGAAAAGACAGAACACAAGCACAAACAAAUAAAAAAGAUUCCAAGACACUUAAAUUAAGGGCAGAAACUUUUCUUUUCUCUCUUACUCCUUCCUGUCUCAGUAGGAUCUGACCACUGGUGUAAGGAAAGAGACUGCAGCUGGGAAGGAAAUGAUGCCAAGAGCUGCAGCUGCAAAGAGGGUUUUUUUUUUUUUUUUAACUUUUAUAGUGUAAAAUUAAUACAUACACACAUUUUAAAAAACAAGCAGUACAGAGUGGUACCAAAUGAAAAGUAAAUUCCCUGCCUGAGCCUGUUCCCCAACUCCUCAUUUCCAGCUCCCUAUUUUUAAAUAUUUUCUGUUCUGCUGGUGGUUAUCACAAUACCUCUGAAACCUAUGUUAAUGCUUUCAUUUCUUGUUUUAUGAACUUGAAAUAGCAUCUAUUGAAAGAUGAGAAACUUAUUUCUUUUAUCCAUCUGCUUCUACAUUUUCCAGUUACAUUGUUUUGGUUUUUCUGGUUAUUACCAUUUUAAAGAGUAUGCUUACGUCUGUAUUUUGUUACAUCAAUUUUAGACAGUGUAUCUUGAUUUUUUGCUAUAUAAAUAAAUAGGUGAAAAAGAUCUGUGACAUUAUCUCUUCCACGUCUCUGCUGCCUUAAUAUUCAGACUUCCAUUUUUUUUAUAUUAUCAAUGUUAGUAUUAGUCAGAUUCUUUUACAGUUGUUGUCUUCCAAGUUUUGUUUAUACGUUGAUUCUACAAAUUAAAAUAGCAUUUCCAUUAUUCCAAUGAUUAAAUUACUCCUUACCGAAGGACCAAAUAGCUCUACUUACUGAGAAAGAAAGGGUAAUCUUAUGUCAUUAAAACUGAAAGAUGAAUGUUCCAAGUGUCAAAGUCAAGUGGGAUUCCUGAAACUCAAUCUUCAAGACUUUCUAGUACAUUUAAUUUGGUCGAUGAUAUCUUUAAUUUCCAAAAAAUCUUUUUCUUUGUUCUUAUUUUAUAGCCACCCAUUCUUUGGCUUCUUGACUCUGAAGAUGUUAGUUGGUUUUGUUUUCUUAAUCAGUUUUUUUUUUUUUUUUCCCUGUUCUCUUACUUGUUUUCUUUAGGAUUCGACUGUUACAAUAUCUGUUCCACUUAGACCUCCUCAUUUUUGUUUUUCACUUACUCUAAAUUUUCUGGGUUUUUUCCUCCCAUAUAUGUGAGUGAUGAAAAAGGUUGACCAGUAUUGAUAGCAUGAUUUGCCACUGCAGUAUUAGACCUCUUUCUUGAAUGAAAAGAUGGAUGGCAGGUUCUGUGUACAUAUAAGCUAGUAGUACUGUUUUAGGGUACAUUUAGAUAUUUUGUUCACCAUGUAUUUUUUGCAAAUUGACUUUUUAAAAUACUAUAUUAAAAUUAAAAUAUCAUAUCUUAUUUACUUAGUUUUUUGGUGCACCUCAAAUUUUGUGUGCCUGGUUUCACUCACUGUAGUAUCUAUUUGGGCCAAGGGCCUGAAAGGUUAAAUGUACUUUCCAGGUAUGGUCAGUAGAGGGCAGCAAAGGGUAGUGGAGUGAGCACUCGCAGCCAAGGCCUGGGCAUCCCUUUUUUCCCCUCUAUAGAGAUAAAAACCCAUCAGUGGUAGUAGAAAGUCCAGAGUGCCAGAAUCAGGAGAGAAAUUACUCAUAGGGAUACUGAUCCAGAAUGGGGAUCAGCUGAGGAGGCACAAUUCACAGCCUGGUAUCUAUCUUAGCGAUGUGAACCACUAGACAUCAGGAGGGGAAUCAUUCGACUUUCCCAGUCCUGACUCCUCCUACUCCCUGCCUGUCUAAAACCUCAGAUCUGGCUCCGUAAAAUAACAGGAGUCUCCUGUCCAUCUUGGGAGCUGAUGCAAACUUCCUGACUGAGAGUUAGGACAUGGUACCAGCAGUGGCUAAGUGUUCCUCAACCAGCCAUUUCAGGGAGGAGAGACUGAGUGGGAUAGGGGCACCAUAGGCAAACACUGACAGCUGAUGAAAACACUCACAUAUGUGUCAGUUAAAUAAUUUGGGAGCCAACCUAAAUGGGAUGUGGCUUAAAAUAUAUUUUCUUUCCUCCUCCAGAAGGAAAACAUUGUUUAGGUGAGGAAAAACUAUAUGACUUUGAAAUUAGACAAACUUGACUCUGCAGAUUAUUUGGUAUGUGGUUCUCAGUUACUUCACUUUAUUGAGCUUCAGUUUCUCCAUCUAUAAAAUGGAAAUAAUGAUUCUUACCUCACAAAUCUGCUGCAAGCAAAUGAGAUGAUGUCCAUAAACUGCCUGGCAAAGAACUUGGCAAUUUGUAGUUACUCAAUUGGCAUUACUACCUGUUCUCUCUCCCUGUCUUUAUUCAUGGGGGGAAUACCCAUUAUAUUGUUGCUAUUUUUGAAUAAAAAGUCUCAUUGUCUCCUGUAAGCAUAACUAAAUUAUUUGAAGGAUUAAUCUGUUAGGUACCAUACUAACAUUUCUGCAGUAUGAUCUCAUUUAAUUCUCACAACAACCCUAUGAAGCAGAUGCUUUUAUCAUCAUUUUGAUUUUGCAGAGAAGGACAUUGAGGCUUUAGAAGUAUAACUGGUUUACCCAGUGUCAUGUAGGUAGUAAAUCAUAAGGAAGGAUUAAAACUAGGUAAUUGGAUUCCAGAGCUCAUGCUCUCGACACUACAUAAUGUUUUCCAAUAUACACAUUUAAUCAAAGAUUUAAAAUUGUAAGGGAAUAAAUCAGAGCAGAAAUUAAAAAAUACAUGGAGACAAAUGAAAAUGAAAACACCAUGGUCCAAAAACUUUGGAAUCCAGCAAAAGCUGUUCUAUGAGGCAAGUUUAUAGCAAUCAAGGCCUACCUCAAGAAGCAAGAAAAACAUUGAAGAAACAACCUAAACUUACACCUACAGAAGCUAGAAAAAGAACAAACAAAACCCAAAACCUAAAGAAGGAAGAAAAUAAUAAAGAUUAGAGCAGAAAUAAAUGAAAUAGAAACUAAAAAAAACCCAAUAGAGCAGAUCAAUGAAACCAGGAGCUGGUUCUUUGAAAAGAUCAACCAAAUUGAUAAACCUUUAGCCAGACUCAUAAAGGAGAGAGAGAGAGAGGGAGAGGACUCAAAUAAACAAAAUCAGAAGGGAAAGAGGAGAAACGACAACCAACACCACAGAAAUAUGAAGGAUUAUAAGAAUAUUAUGAAAAAUUGUAUGCAAACAAAUUGAACAACCUAGAAGAAAUGAUAAAUCCCUAGAAACAUAUAACCUCCCAAAACUGAAUCAGGAAGAAAUAGAAAACUUGAACAGACUGAUUACCAGGAAUGAAAUUGAAUCAGUAAUCAGAAAACUCCCAACAAACAAAAGUCCAGGAGCAGAUGGCUUCACAGGUGGAUUUUACCGAACAUUUAAAGAAGAGUUAGAAGGAAAGCUUCCAAAAUCACAAAUUCAUUCUGUGAGGCCAGCAUUACCCUGAUACCAAAACCAGGUAAAGACACUUAAAAAAAAAAAAGAGGACGGCUGGGUGGCUCAGUCAGUUAAGCGUCUGCCUUCAGCUCUGGUCAUGAUCCCAGAGUCCUGGGAUCGAGUCCCCCAUCGGGCUCCUGGCUCAGCGGGGAGCCUGCUUCUCCCUCUCCCACUCCCCCUGCUUGUGCGCUCUCGCUCUCUCACUCUUGCUCUAUCGCAAAUAAAUAAAAUCUUUUUUAAAAAAGAGAGAACUACAGGCCAAUAUCUCUGAUGAACACAGAUGCAAAAAUCCUCAACAAAAUAAUAGCCAACCAAAUCCAACAAUACAUUAAAAAAUCAUUCACCGUGAUCAAGUGGGAUUUAUUCCUAGGAUGCAAACGUGAUUCAGUAUUCACAAAUCAAUUAACAUCAUACAUCACGUCAACAAGAGAAAGGAUAAAAAGCACAUGAUUAUUUUAAUAGAUGCAGAAAAGCAUUUGACAUAGUACAAUAUCCAUUCAUGAUAAAAACUCUCAACGAAGUAGAUUUAGAGGGAACAUAUUUCAAUAUAAUAAAGACCAUAUAAAAACCUACAGCUAAAAUCAUACUCAAUGGUGAAAAACUAAAAGCUUUUCCCCAAGAUCAAGAGCAAGACAGGGGUGUCCAUUCUCACUACUUGUAUUCAACAUAGUACUGGAAGUCCUAGCCCCGGGAAUAAGACAAGAAAAAGAAAUAAGUGGCAUCCAAAUGGGUAAGGAAGAAGUAAAACUUUCACUAUUUGCAGGUGACAUGAUACUAUAUAUACAGAAAACCCUCCAGACUCCACCAAAAAUAGACUAGAACUGAUAAAUGCGUUCAGGAAAAUCACAGGAUACAAAAUCAAUAUACAGAAAUCUGCAUUUUUAUACACUAAUGAAGAAGCAGAAAGAGAAAUUAAGAAACAGUCCCAUUCACAAUUAUACCAAAAAUAAUAAACUACCUAGGAAUAAACUUAAACAAGGAAGUGAAAGACCUAUAUUCUGAAAACUAUAAAACACUGAUGAAAAAAAAUUGAAGACAACAUGAAUGGAAAAAUAUUCUAUGCUUAUUGAUGGAAGAACAAAUAUUUUAAAAUGUCCCAUACCCAAAAUGAUCUACAGAUUUAAUGCAAUCCCUAUCAAAACACCAAUAGCAUUUUUCACAGAACUAGAACCAAUAAUUCUAAAAUAUGUAUGGUACCACAAAAGGCCCCAAAUAGCCAAAGCAAUCUUGAGAAAGAACAAAAUUGGAGGUAUCACAAUCCCAGAUUUCAGGGUAUAUCACAAAGCUGUAAUAAUCCAAACAGUAUGGUACUGACGGAAAAGUAGACAAUAGAUCAACGGAACAGAAUAGAGAAUCCAGAAAUAAACCCAUGAUUUUAUGUACAAGCAGGGAGGCAAGAAUAUACAAUGGGGAAAAGAUAGUCUCUUCAAAAACUGGUGUUGGGAAAACUGGACAGGUACAUCCAAAAGAAUGAAACUGGACCACUCUCUUACACUAUACACAAAAAUAAAAUUCAAAAUGGAUUAAAGACCUAAAUGUAAGACUUGAAACCAAAAAAGUCCGAGCAGAGAGCACAGAUAGUAAUUUCUCAGACACUGGUUGUAACAACAUCUUCCUAGAUAUGUCCCCUGAGGCAAGGGAGACAAAAGCAAAAAUAAAUUAUUGGGACUACAUCAAAAUAAAAGGCUUCUGCACAGCAAAGAAAACCACCAAUAAAACGAGAGGACAAGUUACUGAAUGGGAGAAGAUAUUUGCAAAUGAUAUAAAAGGUUAGUAUCCAAAAUAUAUAAAGAGCUUAUACAACUCAACACCAAAAAACCAAAUGAUCCAAUUUAAAAAUAGGCGGAAGACAUCAACAGACAUUUCUCCAAAGAAGACACAGAUGGCCAACAGACACGAAAAGAUGCUCAAAUCACUCAUCAUCAGGGAAAUGCAAAUGAAAACCACAAUGAGCUAUCACCUCAUACCUGUCCAAAUGGCUAAAAUCAACAACACAAGAAACAACAGGUUUUGGCAAGAUUGUGGAGAAAAAGGAACUCUUGUGCACUGUUGGUGGGAAUGCCAACUGGUGCAGCCCCCUGUGGAAAACAAUAUGGAGGUUCCUCAAAAAAUUAAAGAUAGAAUUGCUAUAUGAUCCAUAACUGAGUAUUUACCCCCCAAAUAGAAAAACACUAAUUUGUGGGGUGUCUGGGUGGCUCAGUCGGUUAAGCAUCUAGCACAUGGUUUCAGCUCAGGUCAUAAUCUCGGGAUCAUGGGAUCGAACCCCACAUUGGGUUCUGCGCUCAGCACAGAGUCUGCUUGAGAUUCCCUCUCCCUCUUCCUCUGCCCCUGCCCCCACCUGUCUGCUCACCCUCUCUCAUUCUCAAAUAAAUAAAUAAAUAAAUAAAUAAAUAAAUAAAUAAAUAAAUAAAUAAAUAAAAUCUUUAAAAAGAGAAAAACACUAAUUUAAAAACAUAUAUGCACCCCUAUGUUUGUUGCAACAUUAUUUACAGUAGCCAAAUUAUGGAGCAAGCCCAAGUGUCCACUGAUAGAUGAAUGGAUGAAGAAGAUGUGAUAUAUACACACACACACACACACACACACAAUGGAAUAUUAUUCAGCAAUAAAAAAGAUGAAAUCUUGCCAUUUGCAACAACAUGGAUGGAUUUAGAGGGUAUAAUGCUAAGUGAAAUAAGUCAGAGAAAGACAAAUACCAUAUGAUUUCACUUAUAUGUGGAAUUUAAGAAACAAAACAAAUAAAAAAGAGAUAAACCAAAAGACAGACUCUUAGCUAUAGAAAACAAACUGAUAGUUAUCAGAAGGAAGGUGGGUGGGGGGAUGGAUGGUAGGUGAUGGGGAUUAAGAGUACACUUAUCAUGAUGAGCACUGAGUAAUGUAUAGAAUUAUCUAAUCACUAUAUUGUACACCUGAAACUAAUAAUAACACUUAAUUAUACUGGAAUUGAAAUAAAAUAAAUAUAAAAAAAUUAAAAGAAAGAAAUUGAAUUAAGAAAAUAGUCUAGGGGCACCUGCAUGGCUCAUUCAGUUAAGCAUCUGCCUUCGGCUCAGGUCGUGAUCUCAGGGUCCUGGGAUCAAGCCCCACAUCGGGCUCCCUGCUCAUAGGGGAGUCUGCUUCUCCCCCUCCCCCCGACCCCCCUCCCUGCUCAUGCUCUCUCUCUCUCUCUCACUUCUCUCUCAAAUAAAUAAAAUCUUCAAAAAAAAUUUUUAAAUAGUCUUGUCUUUGCAACAUGCUUAAAAUUAUUGGUAUUAUGGGCCUAGGAUUACCUUAUACUAUCUCUUCUAUUUGAUAUUUAGGGUGAAAAGUUAAGUGUUCAAUGAAAUAGAUGAAAACAAACCCUAUCACUGUGAUUCUAUUUAGAGCUCAUUCAUCAAAUUAAAAUAAGUAGCAAUGGUAUUUUAGAAGAAAUUAAGCUUUAGCUAUUACUGUAAAUGUAACUAUUACAUGACUAAGGAAAGCUCCCUUUAUCUUUCUAAGAAAACUUUUCUCUCCUUGGCUUUACUACAAGGGGAAGAUAGAAUCAGAACACUACAUCUUUCUCAAUUAAUUCCUGAAGAUUAGUAACUCACAAUCCUGGUUACAUACAAGAAUCACUCAAAAAAUUUUUCAAAAUACAGGUUUUCUGGAUCUGAUGAAUCAGAACCUCUGGGGGUUAGAGAGGGAGUGCCUGAAAACUCCCCCAAGUGAGACUGAUGCAUAUCAGUAUUGAUAAGCAGAUACUAGAUUCUAGAAGGAGAGUUUUCCUGGUCUCUAAAUCUCUAACCUCUCUGAAGGGAGAGGCAGAGAAAUGGGACAUAAUCUGGGAAUUGGGGAAGGUGCAGAGAUAAGUUUGCCUACAUUUUUACAUUAAAUAACUGUUGACAGAUGCUUGAUGGGAGGCCAGAAAGUGUUGCCCCAUGAGCCUCCAUGGUUCUAAUACAAUCAAACAUGUCCAGACUAGCACUUGUCCCUUUAAAAGUGGUGAGAAGGGGCAUCUGGGUGGCUCAGUCGGUUAAGCUUCUGACUCUUGAUCUCGGCUCAGGUCGUGAUCUUGGUUCAGGUCAUGAUCUCAGGGCUGUGAGAUCGAGCCCCAGGUCAGGCUCCACUCUCAGCACUGUUUGUGCUUGUCCCUCUCCCUCUGCUACCCCCCACCCAAAUAAAUAAAUAAAAUCUUAAAAAAAAUAAAAGUGGUGAAAAGUCUGAAGGCCACUAUCUACAUGUCACUUCUGUGCUAGUUUGGUUUUAAGAUGAGAGGCCUCAGUAAAGUCUAAAAGGUCUACCAGGACUUGUGCUCUUGCCUCUACCUACUUUUUCAGGCAUAUUUCAUGCUCCUGUACCUUCUGCCUGUAUCUCCAAACUAGCAAACUCUUCCAUGUCUCUGAAACGUCACAUAUUCGCAUUCUGUC